This 376-nucleotide ribosomal RNA is filed under the name uncultured bacterium. Its description in RNAcentral is "bacterial SSU rRNA". It matches the Rfam family "Bacterial small subunit ribosomal RNA", at positions 521 to 896 of the family's 1533-position model. The record is from RNAcentral.
UAAGACGAACCGUGCAAACGUUGUUCGGAAUCACUGGGCUUAAAGGGCGCGUAGGCGGUCGGGCCAGUCCGGGGUGAAAUCCUGCAGCUCAACUGUAGAAGUGCCUUGGAUACUGCCCGGCUCGAGGGAGGUAGGGGUCUGUGGAACUUCUGGUGGAGCGGUGAAAUGCGUUGAUAUCAGAAGGAACGCCGGUGGCGAAAGCGACAGACUGGACCUCUUCUAACGCUGAGGCGCGAAAGCUAGGGGAGCAAACGGGAUUAGAUACCCCGGUAGUCCUAGCCCUAAACGAUGAGCACUAGAUUGUAGACUAGUCAUGGGUUUACAGUCGAAGCAAAAGUGUUAAGUGCUCCGCCUGGGGAGUAUGGUCGCAAGGCUG